This 66-nucleotide transfer RNA is filed under the name Anastrangalia sequensi. RNAcentral's name for it is "tRNA-Gly". The record is from RNAcentral. Lineage: Eukaryota; Metazoa; Arthropoda; Insecta; Coleoptera; Cerambycidae.
AAUUUAUAUAAUAUAAAAAUUAUAAUUGACUUCCAAUCAAUAAAUCUAAAAAUAUUUAGUAUAAAU